GGGCGUAUAGAUCAGCGGUAGAUCGCGAGAUUGCAGUAAUAUCAAUUGUUUUAAACUGCAAAUACCUUGAGGUCCAUGGUUCGAAUCCGUGUGCGCCCU
Transfer RNA from Talaromyces stipitatus ATCC 10500, 99 nucleotides. It matches the Rfam family "tRNA". From Rfam's summary of the family: Transfer RNA (tRNA) molecules are approximately 80 nucleotides in length. Their secondary structure includes four short double-helical elements and three loops (D, anti-codon, and T loops). NCBI's taxonomy places the organism in Eukaryota, Fungi, Ascomycota, Eurotiomycetes, Eurotiales, Trichocomaceae. The record is from Rfam.